GACGAACGCUGGCGGCGUGCUUAACACAUGCAAGUCGAACGGAAAGGCCCUGCUUUUGUGGGGUGCUCGAGUGGCGAACGGGUGAGUAACACGUGAGUAACCUGCCCUUGACUUUGGGAUAGCUUCAGGAAACUGGGGCUAAUACCGGAUAGGAGCUCCUGCUGCAUGGUGGGGGUUGGAAAGUUUCGGCGGUUGGGGAUGGACUCGCGGCUUAUCAGCUUGUUGGUGGGGUAGUGGCUUACCAAGGCUUUGACGGGUAGCCGGCCUGAGAGGGUGACCGGCCACAUUGGGACUGAGAUACGGCCCAGACUCCUACGGGAGGCAGCAGUGGGGAAUAUUGCACAAUGGGCGGAAGCCUGAUGCAGCAACGCCGCGUGCGGGAUGACGGCCUUCAGGUUGUAAACCGCUUUCGCCUGUGACGAAGCGUGAGUGACGGUAAUGGGUAAAGAAGCACCGGCUAACUACGUG
Molecule: ribosomal RNA, 468 nt
Filed under: uncultured bacterium
Lineage: Bacteria
Description: partial 16S ribosomal RNA
Rfam family: Bacterial small subunit ribosomal RNA
Source: RNAcentral